AACGAACGCUGGUGGUAUGCUUAAUACAUGCAAGUCGAACGGGUGUGGCAAUACAUCAGUGGCAAACGGGUGAGGAAUAUAUAGGAACCUCCCUAGCAGUAAGGAAUAACUUUGGGAAACCAAAGCUAAUGCCAUAUAUUACCCUUCGGGGGAAAGAUUUAUCGCUGUUAGAUGGGCCUGUAUCAGAUUAGCUAGUUGGU
Molecule: ribosomal RNA, 200 nt
Filed under: uncultured bacterium
Lineage: Bacteria
Description: partial 16S ribosomal RNA
Rfam family: Bacterial small subunit ribosomal RNA
Source: RNAcentral